Molecule: ribosomal RNA, 247 nt
Filed under: uncultured Comamonadaceae bacterium
Lineage: Bacteria; Pseudomonadati; Pseudomonadota; Betaproteobacteria; Burkholderiales; Comamonadaceae
Description: partial 16S ribosomal RNA
Rfam family: Bacterial small subunit ribosomal RNA
Source: RNAcentral
GUAGGGUGCAAGCGUUAAUCGGAAUUACUGGGCGUAAAGCGUGCGCAGGCGGUUGUGCAAGACAGAUGUGAAAUCCCCGGGCUUAACCUGGGAACUGCAUUUGUGACUGCACGGCUGGAGUGCGGCAGAGGGGGAUGGAAUUCCGCGUGUAGCAGUGAAAUGCGUAGAUAUGCGGAGGAACACCGAUGGCGAAGGCAAUCCCCUGGGCCUGCACUGACGCUCAUGCACGAAAGCGUGGGGAGCAAAC